RNA transcript from Beta vulgaris subsp. vulgaris (sugar beet), 1969 nucleotides. It is a transcript of the gene named trihelix transcription factor GT-3b, with no coding region annotated. Lineage: Eukaryota; Viridiplantae; Streptophyta; Magnoliopsida; Caryophyllales; Amaranthaceae. The record is from RefSeq and is a predicted model, not a curated record. The transcript is spliced from 3 exons.
GAGAGAAUCCCUAUAAAAAUAAAAAGGGAACGAAUUCCGCGUAGACAGAUGAGGUAAUAAGACUUCUGUGAUUGAGACAACUUCAUUUUACACUAAACAAACUUAAUUAAUUCACCUCAACUUAAAACACAAAAGUUAAAUAAAUAAAAAGGGGUGAACACAAUAGAAAGCGUUUUUUCCCCUCUCUCUUCUUCUUCUUCCUUCAUUCUUUCUUUCUCAUGAAACAUACAAACAAACUCCAUCAUCAAUUAUAUCAUCAAUAAUCCAAAAAUCAAACAAAACAAAGAAGCCAAAAACAACACUCUUUCUUUCUUUCUUUCUUUCUUUCUUUCUCCUAUAAAUAAUCUUUCACACCUUCUUUCCUUUUCAUACCAUAUAUUAUUAAUACUAAUAAUAAUCAAAAGUUUAUACUAUAUAGUCUAUAAACUAUAUAUUAUAAUUCAGCUUCAGAUGGAAAGACAUCAUAUUAUACAUCAUGAUCAGCAGCAACAACAACAACAUCAAUAUCGACAACCGCAGCAAUUACAACAACAACAACAACAAAUGAUACCUAACACGGUUGGGGUAGACACAGGUGAUAGGUUCCCACAAUGGAGUAUACAAGAAACUAAAGAGUUUUUAAUAGUUCGAGCUGAUUUAGAUCGGAAUUUUAUGGAGACUAAACGAAAUAAACUUCUUUGGGAAGUUAUUUCUACUAAAAUGAGAGAUAAAGGUUUUAAUCGUAGUGCUGAGCAGUGCAAAUGUAAAUGGAAAAAUCUUGUCACUCGUUACAAGGGGUGUGAGACAAUGGAACCAGAAGUAAUGAGACAACAAUUUCCCUUCUACAAUGAAAUGCAAGCAAUAUUCACAGCAAGAAUGCAGAGGAUGUUAUGGGCCGAAGAAGAAAGCGGGCCAGGCCCAUCAAAGAAGAUGAAGGCAACAAUGUCAUCAGAUGAGGAAGAAGAUGAUCAAGAUACAGAUGGAGAAAAAGGGGUUCAAAAAAAGAAGACUAAUAACAAAAAAGCAAGAACAAAUAUUAGUAGUAGUAGUAGUAUCAGUAGUAGUAGUAUUAAUGCAAUAAAGGAUAUGUUGGAGGAGUUCAUGAAGCAACAGUUGCAGAUGGAGGUGCAAUGGAGGGAGGCGUACGAGGCGAGGGAGGAGGAGAGGCGGAGGGCGGAGGCGGAGUGGCGGCAGAGAAUGGAGGCGUUGGAGAAUGAGAGGGUGGUGAUGGAGAGAAGGUGGAGAGAAAGAGAAGAGCAGAGGAAGAUAAGAGAGGAAACUAGGGCUGAGAAAAGGGAUGCUCUUAUUACAACUCUAUUGAAUAAACUUAGAAGAGAAGACUCAAACAUGUGAUAAUUUAUCAUCAAUCAUCAUUUUUCCAUGCAUGCAUGAUGCAUGCAUAUUAGGUAAGAAGAAUUUCGUUGCAAGAAAGAGGAGAAAUUGGGAUUCUUUUUGUAAGGGGUGAGAAUCAAAUUCCUGUCACGUUACAGGGGUGAAAGGUGGGCGGUUUCAUUCAUUUUAUCUUCCUCUUCAAAUGUUGUAGCUUAGCUUUAAUUAGCUAGCUAGAUCAUGCAGGAAAUGGAUUCUUUAACAGUCUAUCCCAACUCCUUUGUCAGUUAAUUUUUUUUGGGUACAUGAGAAAAGUUAGGACACCCUUCUUUCAACAGAGACUCUUAAAGAAUCAAUAAGAACAAAUUUAUGUAACGAGGGGUUCUGUUGAAACAUCCACAUCAACCGAGACAGCUGAACUGUUGUGAACUUUUUUGAUAGAAGUUCCGCUACCUGAUUAGCUUCUCGAAAAAUAUGCUUAAUUUUAUAGAAUCUAAAAUGUCAUAGCAGUUGCCUAAUGUCAUCAAUGAGGGUUCGUAUAUAUAUAGUCCAAGGGCAAGCGUAAUGCCCUUGCAGAAUUCGUAUAAUCACCUGGUUGUCUCCUUUAAUAUAUAGAUCUUGAAUAUGCUGUUGAUUGGCAAGAAUAAGUCCAUUUCUUAAC